AGAGUUUGAUCCUGGCUCAGAACGAACGUUAGCGGCGCGCCUAAUACAUGCAAGUCGAGCGAGAAAGGGCUUCGGCCCCAGUAAAGCGGCGUACGGGUGAGUAACACGUAGGUGAUCUCCCCUAGAGUGGUGGAUAACCCUCCGAAAGGAGGGCUAAUACAGCAUGAGACCACGAUCCCGCUGGGAUUGCGGUCAAAGCAGGCCUCUUCACGAAAGCUUGCGCUCUGGGAUGAGCCUGCGGCCCAUCAGCUUGUUGGUAAGGUAACGGCUUACCAAGGCUAAGACGGGUAGCUGGUCUGAGAGGAUGAGCAGCCACACUGGAACUGAAACACGGUCCAGACUCCUACGGGAGGCAGCAGUAGGGAAUCUUGCGCAAUGGGCGAAAGCCUGACGCAGCGACGCCGCGUGAGCGAUGAAGGCCUUCGGGUUGUAAAGCUCUGUGGGGAGAGACGAAUAAGGCAUGGCUAACAUCCAUGUCGAUGACGGUAUCUCCUUAGCAAGCACCGGCUAACUCUGUGCCAGCAGCCGCGGUAAGACAGAGGGUGCGAACGUUGUUCGGAAUUACUGGGCGUAAAGCGCGUGUAGGCGGCAACGCAAGUCGGGCGUGAAAUCCCACGGCUCAACCGUGGAAGUGCACUCGAAACUGCGUAGCUAGAGUCCUGGAGAGGAAGGUGGAAUGCUUGGUGUAGAGGUGAAGUUCGUAGAUAUCAAGCGGAACACCGGUGGCGAAGGCGGCCUUCUGGACAGUGACUGACGCUGAGACGCGAAAGCGUGGGGAGCAAACAGGAUUAGAUACCCUGGUAGUCCACGCCGUAAACGAUGAGUGCUAGGUGUCACGGGCUUUGACCCUCGUGGUGCCGAAGCUAACGCGUUAAGCACUCCGCCUGGGGAGUACGGCCGCAAGGCUAAAACUCAAAGGAAUUGACGG
Molecule: ribosomal RNA, 928 nt
Filed under: uncultured bacterium
Lineage: Bacteria
Description: bacterial SSU rRNA
Rfam family: Bacterial small subunit ribosomal RNA
Source: RNAcentral